RNAcentral lists this signal recognition particle RNA (267 nucleotides) under Oscillospiraceae bacterium. RNAcentral describes it as "signal recognition particle sRNA large type". It matches the Rfam family "Bacterial large signal recognition particle RNA". From Rfam's summary of the family: The signal recognition particle (SRP) is a universally conserved ribonucleoprotein involved in the co-translational targeting of proteins to membranes. Archaeal SRP consists of a 7S RNA and homologues of the eukaryotic SRP19 and SRP54 proteins. In most bacteria, the SRP consists of a 4.5S RNA and the Ffh protein (a homologue of the eukaryotic SRP54 protein). Lineage: Bacteria; Bacillati; Bacillota; Clostridia; Eubacteriales; Oscillospiraceae. The record is from RNAcentral.
UCAUACCAGUCGGGGGAGCAGCGGGUCCCUGUACUCGAAAUCCGCUAUAGCGAGGAUGGUAUCCCGAAACGAGGGUGAGAUUUGUAUGGUCUGUGCCGCAGUUGGACGUGUUGACGAAUGGGUCCUGCGCGAUCGGCGGCUGUGAACCAUGUCAGGUGGGGAACCAAGCAGCAUUAAGCAGUUUAGCCGAUGCGCCGCAGGGCAGCCUGUUCUGAGCGUGCACUGCGGUGUCGCAUAUGGAUUCUCAUUCGACUUUCGGGUGUAUGG